AACGAACGCUGGCGGCGUGCUUAACACAUGCAAGUCGAACGAGAACGGAUUAUAGCUUGCUAUAAUUGUCAGCUAAGUGGCGCACGGGUGAGUAAUGUAUAGUUAAUAUGCCUCUUACUAAGGGAUAACAAAUGGAAACGUUUGCUAAUACCUUAUACUCCUUAUUAACAGAAGUUAAUAAGGGAAAGAUUUAUUGGUAAGAGAUUAGCCUGUAUUGUAUCAGUUAGUUGGUGGGGUAAUGGCUUACCAAGACUAUGACACAUAACUGGUUUGAGAGGAUGAUCAGUCACACUGGAACUGAGACACGGUCCAGACUCCUACGGGAGGCAGCAGUGGGGAAUAUUGCACAAUGGACGAAAGUCUGAUGCAGCAACGCCGCGUGGAGGAUGACACAUUUCGGUGCGUAAACUCCUUUUAUAUGAGAAGAUAAUGACGGUAUUAUAUGAAUAAGCACCGGCUAACUCCGUGCCAGCAGCCGCGGUAA
This 484-nucleotide ribosomal RNA is filed under the name uncultured bacterium. RNAcentral describes it as "partial 16S ribosomal RNA". It matches the Rfam family "Bacterial small subunit ribosomal RNA", at positions 29 to 523 of the family's 1533-position model. The record is from RNAcentral.